Molecule: long non-coding RNA, 753 nt
Filed under: Equus caballus (horse)
Lineage: Eukaryota; Metazoa; Chordata; Mammalia; Perissodactyla; Equidae
Description: lncRNA (ENSECAG00000044934.1)
Source: RNAcentral
CUGGUCCCAAUGCCUGAUGGGUUCCCCUGGGAUAUUUUGCCCAGGGCUCGUUCCGGGGGACAGGUCGCGUGCUGAACCUUUUGGAUCCUGAGCGGACGUACCUGGAGAACCCUGGGGAUGGGAGAGCUAAGGCCCCGGGGGACCCAUCGACUCCCUUCGAGCAAGUGCGGAGCCCGGCGGAGCGUCCCGGACACCGCGUCCGGCUCCCCACUCCACGGGCCGAAUCAGCUGCCGUCUGCGCCCCCGCGCGCCGCCCCCGGGUGAGGGGCGUCCGGGGAGGUGCGUUAAUCACAAGUGAGUGCGACCUUGCAGCUGUGAUAAAUGCUAUAGAGAAGAAGCACAUUUUGCCGUGAGAGAGAUGUCACCUGACCAGGAUGGUCAGGGAGACGUUUUCUUCUGAGGAGAGCUGAGAGCUAAACAAUGACUUUGAGUUUUGGUUGGAGACUUCUGGAAAGGGCACAGGGAAAAGCAGCCAGAAAAUGGAGAACACAGAUGCCCAGCCACACCCUACAGAAAGACAGGGUGUGACAUUCCCAGGUCCAGUCCCAGCUGGUAUGAGGCUGUCCCCUGAGCCAUAAGAUGGCUGCAAACUUGGGUGCCCUGGACCUCCCCAUCCCCCAGAACUGGAAAGCCUCCUGAUAAAAGAUGCCACCAGGAGGCAGGAAUCUAACCUGCAAAUCCAUGAUCCUGGUCCUGAAACACUGUUGUCAGGUCAUCAUACCCCUCUGCCAUGAGGAGCUCGCUGGGCCGGGG